This 641-nucleotide ribosomal RNA is filed under the name Dendrobium devonianum. Its description in RNAcentral is "eukaryotic LSU rRNA". The stretch from base 239 to 394 matches the Rfam family "5.8S ribosomal RNA". The record is from RNAcentral. Lineage: Eukaryota; Viridiplantae; Streptophyta; Magnoliopsida; Asparagales; Orchidaceae.
UCGAGACCGAAUUAUAUCGAGUGAUUUAGAUAACCUGUAAAAAUUUGCGGUGGCUAUUGCUGCCGAAAUAAAAUCUAUCCCAAUCAUCAUCUGAACCCCCCUCCUUGGGGCGGAGAUGCGAUGAAGGAUGGAUGAACCCCAAACCGGCGCAGCAUUGCGCCAAGUGAAUAACGAAACAAUAUCCCUAAAAUGGGUUUUGUAGCAUGGCAAUGCUAUUGCAUGCCAUAUGGAUUGACAUGACUCUCGGCAAUGGAUAUCUCGGCUCUCGCAUCGAUGAAGAGCGCAGCGAAAUGCGAUACGUGGUGCGAAUUGCAGAAUCCCGUGAACCAUCGAGUCUUUGAACGCAAGUUGCGCCCGAGGCCAACCGGCCAAGGGCACGUCUGCCUGGGCGUCAAGCAUUUAGAUGCUCCGUGCCUUGUCAUCAAUUUAUGGAAGUGUUGGUGAAGGCUCGGAUGUGCAUGGUGGCUCGUCGUGCUCCUCGGCACGGCGGGCUGAAGAGCGGGGCAUCAUCUCGUUGGCUGCGUACAAUAAGUGGUGGAUAAAGGAUAAGGCCUAUUGUAUUGUGCGUGCAUGCCCGAGAGAUGAUCAUAUUAUUUUGGUGAUCCCAAAUCAUGCGUCCAUCCUUAGAUGACGUUUUGAAU